Molecule: long non-coding RNA, 583 nt
Organism: Aedes aegypti (yellow fever mosquito)
Lineage: Eukaryota; Metazoa; Arthropoda; Insecta; Diptera; Culicidae
Exons: 2
Source: RefSeq, a predicted model, not a curated record
GUUAUGGUAAUAAGCACUUGGUCCACUCUGACUGCAUACUUUUAUCGAUUUUUAUUGAUCAUCCAAAGUAAAUUUUUAACAUAUAUUGUAAUAAUAGCAGGUUUAUUGAACAACAUUAUUAAUUGGACAUCCCUACUACAUUAUAUAUAUAUCUCAUUAAACACACACAGUCUCACCAUGCAUUGCUGUAGGGACACUUAUUGUCAAGCUAGGUAGGACUGCGUCACUCACUCAGUUGUUUGUGCACCGUUUGACCGUGUGGACGUGAAUAAAAAAGGCAUUAAAACGUAACUUAAAACAUAUAUCUCGCAGUUUACAGCAUUCAUCAAAUCUGAUCAAAGUGACACCAAAAUAAUGUAACUUGGCAUCUAAUGAAAGAAUAAUCCAAUUUUCGCAAGUUUUGUACUUGGUCCCCUCUGACUUAACGGCGACCAAUUGAGAAACUGUUAAAAACCAGUAAUUUAUCCUGCUAUAUUUCCAGAAAUUAAGCAAUCUUUCUAGAAUUUUUGCAGGGAUCACAGAAAGUUCAUUGCCAGGGUCUACUACCUGGAAAAACCUAGAACUAUCAAGGAGUUUUAUUCAA